AUUGAACGCUGGCGGCAGGCCUAACACAUGCAAGUCGAACGAGUGGCGGACGGGUGAGUAAUGUCUGGGAAACUGCCUGAUGGAGGGGGAUAACUACUGGAAACGGUAGCUCAUACCGCAUACCAUCGGAUGUGCCCAGAUGGGAUUAGCUAGUAGGUGGGGUAACGGCUCACCUAGGCGACGAUCCCUAGCUGGUCUGAGAGGAUGACCAGCCACACGGGAACGGAGCAACGGUCCAGACUCCUAUGGGAGGCAGCAGUGGGGAAUAUGGCACAAUGGGCGAACGCCUGAUGCAGCCAUGCCGCGUGUAUGAAGAAGGCCUUCGGGUUGUAAAGUACUUUCAGCGGGGAUGCGUUACCCGCAGAAGAAGCACCGGCUACCUCCGUGCCAGCAGCCGCGGUAAUAC
Molecule: ribosomal RNA, 406 nt
Filed under: uncultured bacterium
Lineage: Bacteria
Description: partial 16S ribosomal RNA
Rfam family: Bacterial small subunit ribosomal RNA
Source: RNAcentral